RNAcentral lists this ribosomal RNA (526 nucleotides) under Bacteroides fragilis str. 3986T(B)10. Its description in RNAcentral is "bacterial SSU rRNA". It matches the Rfam family "Bacterial small subunit ribosomal RNA", at positions 991 to 1527 of the family's 1533-position model. The record is from RNAcentral. Lineage: Bacteria; Pseudomonadati; Bacteroidota; Bacteroidia; Bacteroidales; Bacteroidaceae.
UGGAAUGAUGUGGAAACAUGUCAGUGAGCAAUCACCACUGUGAAGGUGCUGCAUGGUUGUCGUCAGCUCGUGCCGUGAGGUGUCGGCUUAAGUGCCAUAACGAGCGCAACCCUUAUCUUUAGUUACUAACAGGUUAUGCUGAGGACUCUAGAGAGACUGCCGUCGUAAGAUGUGAGGAAGGUGGGGAUGACGUCAAAUCAGCACGGCCCUUACGUCCGGGGCUACACACGUGUUACAAUGGGGGGUACAGAAGGCAGCUAGCGGGUGACCGUAUGCUAAUCCCAAAAGCCUCUCUCAGUUCGGAUCGAAGUCUGCAACCCGACUUCGUGAAGCUGGAUUCGCUAGUAAUCGCGCAUCAGCCACGGCGCGGUGAAUACGUUCCCGGGCCUUGUACACACCGCCCGUCAAGCCAUGGGAGCCGGGGGUACCUGAAGUACGUAACCGCAAGGAUCGUCCUAGGGUAAAACUGGUGACUGGGGCUAAGUCGUAACAAGGUAGCCGUACCGGAAGGUGCGGCUGGAACACC